AGCGAACGUUAGCGGCGGGCUUAACACAUGCAAGUCGAGCGAGAGAGUGACUUCGGUCAUGAGUAAAGCGGCAGACGGGUGAGGAAUACGUAGGUAAUUUUCCGUUUAGUGGGGGACAACGGUCCGAAAGGACCGCUAAUACCGCAUACGUUUCUUGGGACUUUGGUCUUGAGAAGGAAAGCUGGGCAACUGGCGCUAAAUGAGAAGCCUGCGUCGCAUCAGCUAGUUGGUGGGGUAAUGGCCUACCAAGGCGAAGACGCGUAGCUGGUCUGAGAGGAUGAUCAGCCACACUGGAACUGAGACACGGACCAGACUCCUACGGGAGGCAGCAGUGGGGAAUAUUGGACAAUGGGCGCAAGCCUGAUCCAGCCACGCCGCGUGAGUGAUGAAGGCCUUCGGGUCGUAAAGACUCUGUGGGGAGAGGACGAACCGCUGGGUAACCCGUUCAGCAUGACGGUAUCUCCUUAGCAAGCACCGGCUAACUUCGUGCCAGCAGCCGCGGUAAC
RNAcentral lists this ribosomal RNA (506 nucleotides) under uncultured bacterium. Its description in RNAcentral is "bacterial SSU rRNA". It matches the Rfam family "Bacterial small subunit ribosomal RNA", at positions 29 to 524 of the family's 1533-position model. The record is from RNAcentral.